Molecule: long non-coding RNA, 1288 nt
Organism: Lotus japonicus
Lineage: Eukaryota; Viridiplantae; Streptophyta; Magnoliopsida; Fabales; Fabaceae
Exons: 3
Source: RefSeq, a predicted model, not a curated record
UACAUUUUGAAGACUUUUCCAUGUAAACCCUAAUCUCUCCCCAUCUGUUGUGUAAGUGUUCACCCUAAUUCUACAACCUAACUGCUUUCACCCUCCCAAUCUCGCCCUCUUAUAUUCCCGAAUCCAACGCGCCCGCCGCUCCAAUCGCGAUGCCCUCGCCCUAUUCGCCGGUGACGGGGAUUCUCUGCCACGCCUAACAUCCGCCGCACCAACGGCACCGGGAAUACGGCGUACAGGUACGACAAACUCUGUGAUGUCGUUGAUGGCUCCAAUGGCCCUAAAAGGUUCAUGAGACCCAUGUCGCAGGCGAGUUUCUGCUUGCAGACUAGGGGGCACUUCCACUCGGGGGUCAACGUAUGAGGCGAUCCUCGUUGUGUGUAUGCUGGUGUUCUUCGAGGGUCUUUCUGCAAAGUCUCAAUAAUCGUGGCAUUUGCCCGAGAACGAGUUUGGGGUUUCUCUGUUUCUCUGCUUCCCACCCCUUCCAUUAAGCCAGCUUUGUCUGGGACAAAGCAAAGUAUACAACUCCAGAACUUCGGAACUUGUGGAAGUGGUUCUGCAAGGGAGAGAUGGGCCAGUUUUCUGUUAUGGUUCCACUGGAGUUGGGAAAACUUACGCAAUGCUUGGUACAGUUUAGAGCACAGGGGUGAUGGUGUUGGCAAAUAAGGACCUUUUCAGUAAAAUCAGUCAGAGAAGUUGUGAUGGAAACCAUGUCGUUCAUCUGUCCUAUCUUGAGGUUUAUAAUGAAACUGUGAUAGAUUUGCUUUCACCUGGAAGACCUCUGGUUCUUAGAGAAGAUAAACAGGGUCUGAUUCUGGUUCAAGAAGUUUCUCAUCAUCAAUUGGGGGGACAACAACCAACUAUGCUAUUGUGGUGCUCCAUGUAAGGUUCGAGAUUGUAAAACUGAAGGAACCCCGGGAGGAAGUUUUUGGGUUGUAGAAGACAUGGUGGGUCUUCCACACAUUGUGAUUUCCUUUUUUGGUGUGAUGACACAAGUCCAAGAUCAAUGAAGUUUCGCAUUGAUUUAUUGAAGAACAUAAAACAGGUGAAGAAGUGGUAGCAAAAAAUGCACAAGUGUUGACCUUGGAGGGAAGCAAGUAAGAAUGGAAAUAUUUGUCUUGGGAAGAAGUUAAGAAUAGUCAUAGCUUGUCAACUAGUGCUUGUGGCAUACGUUUGGUUCAAUAUUUGUAAAUGAGUGGUUUGAUCGAGCUAUCUAUAACUUAAAACUAUUAUGAACCACUCUUGGCUCACAUAUUCAACUGAUAUGAAAUCUUGGGUUUGCAUAUGAAAA